Molecule: ribosomal RNA, 253 nt
Filed under: uncultured bacterium
Lineage: Bacteria
Description: partial 16S ribosomal RNA
Rfam family: Bacterial small subunit ribosomal RNA
Source: RNAcentral
UACGUAGGGCGCAAGCGUUGUCCGGAAUUAUUGGGCGUAAAGAGCUCGUAGGCGGCUUGUCACGUCGGGUGUGAAAGCCCGGGGCUUAACCCCGGGUCUGCAUUCGAUACGGGCUAGCUAGAGUGUGGUAGGGGAGAUCGGAAUUCCUGGUGUAGCGGUGAAAUGCGCAGAUAUCAGGAGGAACACCGGUGGCGAAGGCGAAUCUCUGGGCCAUUACUGACGCUGAGGAGCGAAAGCGUGGGGAGCGAACAGG